AGAGCAAAUCGGCUUAUCGCUUUUUAAAGAGGAAAGUCCGGGCAGCAUAGAGCGUCACACUUCUUAACGGGAAGGUCCUACUAUGUAGGAACAGAAAGUGCAACAGAAAAUAAACUUCCCAUAAUUUAUUGUGGGUAAUGGUGAAAAGGUGGGGUAAGAGCCUACCGCUUUUUUGGUGACAAAAAAGGCAAGGUAAACCUUGUGAGCUGAAAGACCAAGUAUAUCGGGAAUUGAGGGCUGCUCGCCUGAUCUCGAAGGGUAGGUCGUUUGAUCCUGGUUGUGAAGCUAGGGCAAGAUAAAUGAUAAGCGGCUGAUUUGUUAUUCAAGUCUGCUAACAGAACCCGGCUUAUGAUUUGCUCUUUUU
This 364-nucleotide RNase P RNA is filed under the name Crocinitomicaceae bacterium. RNAcentral describes it as "RNase P RNA component class A". It matches the Rfam family "Bacterial RNase P class A". Rfam says of the family: Ribonuclease P (RNase P) is a ubiquitous endoribonuclease, found in archaea, bacteria and eukarya as well as chloroplasts and mitochondria. Its best characterised activity is the generation of mature 5'-ends of tRNAs by cleaving the 5'-leader elements of precursor-tRNAs. Lineage: Bacteria; Pseudomonadati; Bacteroidota; Flavobacteriia; Flavobacteriales; Crocinitomicaceae. The record is from RNAcentral.